AGAGUUUGAUCCUGGCUCAGGAUGAACGCUGGCGGCGUGCCUAACACAUGCAAGUCGAGCGAUGAAAUUUCCUUCGGGAAAUGGAUUAGCGGCGGACGGGUGAGUAACACGUGGGUAACCUGCCUCAUAGUGGGGGAUAGCCUUCCGAAAGGGAGAUUAAUACCGCAUAACAUCAUUAGAUGGCAUCAUUUAGUGAUCAA
RNAcentral lists this ribosomal RNA (200 nucleotides) under uncultured bacterium. RNAcentral describes it as "partial 16S ribosomal RNA". It matches the Rfam family "Bacterial small subunit ribosomal RNA", at positions 8 to 204 of the family's 1533-position model. The record is from RNAcentral.